This is a long non-coding RNA of Perognathus longimembris pacificus (Pacific pocket mouse), 675 nucleotides long. RefSeq lists it as uncharacterized. NCBI's taxonomy places the organism in Eukaryota, Metazoa, Chordata, Mammalia, Rodentia, Heteromyidae. The transcript has 2 exons. The record is from RefSeq and is a predicted model, not a curated record.
UAGAGCACAAAGAGGCUCAGGGACAGUGCUCAGGCCCUGAGUUCAAGCCCUAGGAAUAGCAAAAAACAAAACAAUACUAUAUUGAAUUAUUAAAGAUUUUCUUAUACUUCUCACUAAAAGGCACGCACUGAGGAAAAAUUAGCUCUAAAGUGGCCUAAAGAACCAUGGUACAUGUGAUCCUUUAUCACUACUUCUCCAAAUAUGUCUUCAAAAACAACAGUUUAUACGUCUGUUGCUAGUGUUAAUGGUGUCCCAAAUAACCUUUGACCCAUAUCUGACAAGGAAUGCUUAUCUAUCUAAAUUAAGCACUCUUAGAACAACAGAGAAACAAGUCUCUAAGAAAGAAGCGAAAUAUCUGGACAGGUGGUUCAUAAAGGAGGUAUUCAUGUAAGCACCGAGCACAGGAAGGGAUCAACAUCAUGAGUCAUCGGAGAAAUGAAAAGCACCCAGGGGAUCACGGAAUGUCUACAAAAAUGGCUAACACAAUAGACAGACACCAUCAAAUACUGGCAAACAGGCAGAGCACCCACAACUGUUGUGCACUGUUUGUGGGGUGUAAAAUAGCACAACACUUUGGGAGAAAUGGGAGAUCAUUCUUAUAAAAUUAAACAUACAUUUCCUCUACAGCCCAGUAAUUGCACUGUUAGAUAAUUUCCAGGGAUAGCAUAUGUUCAC